UACGUAGGGGGCUAGCGUUGUCCGGAAUCAUUGGGCGUAAAGCGCGCGUAGGCGGCCCGGUAAGUCCGCUGUAAAAGUCAAAGGCUCAACCUUUGAAUGUCAGUGGAUACUGCCGGGCUAGAGUCCGGAAGAGGCGAGUGGAAUUCCUGGUGUAGCGGUGGAAUGCGCAGAUAUCAGGAGGAACACCAACGGCGAAGGCAGCUCGCUGGGACGGUACUGACGCUAAGGCGCGAAAGCGUGGGGAGCGAACAGG
This 253-nucleotide ribosomal RNA is filed under the name uncultured bacterium. RNAcentral's name for it is "partial 16S ribosomal RNA". It matches the Rfam family "Bacterial small subunit ribosomal RNA", at positions 524 to 776 of the family's 1533-position model. The record is from RNAcentral.